GGGCCGUUAGCUCAGUUGGUAGAGCACCGCGUUUGCAACGCGGGGGUCGCAGGUUCGAAUCCUGUACGGUCCA
Molecule: transfer RNA, 73 nt
Filed under: Candidatus Moraniibacteriota bacterium
Lineage: Bacteria; Candidatus Moraniibacteriota
Description: tRNA-Ala
Rfam family: tRNA
About the family: Transfer RNA (tRNA) molecules are approximately 80 nucleotides in length.
Source: RNAcentral